UACAUUGGGUUGGCCAGAAAAUUUGUUCAAGCUCUUUCUCAACAUCCUAUGGAAAAACCUGAAUCAACAUUUUGGCCAACCUAAUACAU
This 89-nucleotide microRNA precursor is filed under the name Ovis aries (sheep). RNAcentral describes it as "miRNA (ENSOARG00000021639.1)". Lineage: Eukaryota; Metazoa; Chordata; Mammalia; Artiodactyla; Bovidae. The record is from RNAcentral.